UACGGAGGGGGCUAGCGUUGUUCGGAAUUACUGGGCGUAAAGCGCGCGUAGGCGGCUUUGUAAGUUAGAGGUGGAAGCCCGGAGCUCAACUCCGGAAUUGCCUUUAAGACUGCAUCGCUAGAAUCAUGGAGAGGUGAGUGGAAUUCCGAGUGUAGAGGUGAAAAUUCGUAGAUAUCGGGAGGAACACCCGUAGCGAAGGCGGCCGACUGGACCACACCUGACGCUGAGGCGCGAAGGCCAGGGGAGCGAACGGGAUUAGAU
RNAcentral lists this ribosomal RNA (261 nucleotides) under uncultured bacterium. RNAcentral describes it as "partial 16S ribosomal RNA". It matches the Rfam family "Bacterial small subunit ribosomal RNA", at positions 524 to 783 of the family's 1533-position model. The record is from RNAcentral.